UGGGAUGAAUGGUCAGCUCUCUGAC
RNAcentral lists this non-coding RNA (25 nucleotides) under Rattus norvegicus (Norway rat). The record is from RNAcentral. Lineage: Eukaryota; Metazoa; Chordata; Mammalia; Rodentia; Muridae.